Molecule: ribosomal RNA, 700 nt
Filed under: uncultured bacterium
Lineage: Bacteria
Description: bacterial SSU rRNA
Rfam family: Bacterial small subunit ribosomal RNA
Source: RNAcentral
AGUGGCGGACGGGUGAGUAACACGUAAGAAUUUGCCUUUAGGAGGGGGACAACAGCUGGAAACGGCUGCUAAUACCCCAUAUGCUUUCGAGUGAAAUGGAUUUCCGCCUGAAGAGAAGCUUGCGGCUGAUUAGCUUGUUGGUGAGGUAAUGGCUCACCAAGGCGACGAUCAGUAUCUGGUUUGAGAGGACGAUCAGACACACUGGAACUGAGACACGGUCCAGACUCCUACGGGAGGCAGCAGUGGGGAAUUUUCCGCAAUGGGCGAAAGCCUGACGGAGCAAUACCGCGUGAGGGAUGAAGGCCUAUGGGUUGUAAACCUCUUUUUUCAGGGAGGAACAAAAUGACGUGUACCUGAAGAAUAAGCAUCGGCUAACUCCGUGCCAGCAGCCGCGGUAAGACGGGGGAUGCAAGUGUUAUCCGGAAUCACUGGGCGUAAAGCGUCUGUAGGUGGUUAAGUAAGUCAACUUGUUAAAUCUUGAGGCUCAACCUCAAAAUCGCAGUCGAAACUGCUUGACUAGAGUAUAGUAGGGGUAAAGGGAAUUUCCAGUGGAGCGGUGAAAUGCGUAGAUAUUGGAAAGAACACCGAUGGCGAAGGCACUUUACUGGGCUAUUACUAACACUGAGAGACGAAAGCUAGGGUAGCAAAUGGGAUUAGAUACCCCAGUAGUCCUAGCUGUAAACAAUGGAUACUAGAUGUU